Molecule: transfer RNA, 77 nt
Filed under: Schistocephalus solidus
Lineage: Eukaryota; Metazoa; Platyhelminthes; Cestoda; Diphyllobothriidea; Diphyllobothriidae
Rfam family: tRNA
About the family: Transfer RNA (tRNA) molecules are approximately 80 nucleotides in length. Their secondary structure includes four short double-helical elements and three loops (D, anti-codon, and T loops).
Source: Rfam by way of RNAcentral
GGCCUCAUAGCUCAAUUGUCUAGAGCGUUGGCGGAGGCUUCCCCUUGCUGUCGUAGGUUCGAUUCCUACGGAGGUCG